UAGGGAAUCUUCGGCAAUGGACGGAAGUCUGACCGAGCAACGCCGCGUGAGUGAAGAAGGUUUUCGGAUCGUAAAGCUCUGUUGUUAGAGAAGAACGUUGGUAGGAGUGGAAAAUCUACCAAGUGACGGUAACUAACCAGAAAGGGACGGCUAACUACGUGCCAGCAGCCGCGGUAAUACGUAGGUCCCGAGCGUUGUCCGGAUUUAUUGGGCGUAAAGCGAGCGCAGGCGGUUAUUUAAGUCUGAAGUUAAAGGCAGUGGCUUAACCAUUGUACGCUUUGGAAACUGGAGGACUUGAGUGCAGAAGGGGAGAGUGGAAUUCCAUGUGUAGCGGUGACAUGCGUAGAUAUAUGGAGGAACACCGGUGGCGAAAGCGGCUCUCUGGUCUGUAACUGACGCUGAGGCUCGAAAGCGUGGGGAGCAAACAGG
Molecule: ribosomal RNA, 429 nt
Filed under: Bacillota bacterium
Lineage: Bacteria; Bacillati; Bacillota
Description: Firmicutes bacterium partial 16S ribosomal RNA
Rfam family: Bacterial small subunit ribosomal RNA
Source: RNAcentral